RNAcentral lists this ribosomal RNA (2787 nucleotides) under Escherichia coli. RNAcentral describes it as "bacterial LSU rRNA". It matches the Rfam family "Bacterial large subunit ribosomal RNA". The record is from RNAcentral. Lineage: Bacteria; Pseudomonadati; Pseudomonadota; Gammaproteobacteria; Enterobacterales; Enterobacteriaceae.
AGCGUACACGGUGGAUGCCCUGGCAGUCAGAGGCGAUGAAGGACGUGCUAAUCUGCGAUAAGCGUCGGUAAGGUGAUAUGAACCGUUAUAACCGGCGAUUUCCGAAUGGGGAAACCCAGUGUGUUUCGACACACUAUCAUUAACUGAAUCCAUAGGUUAAUGAGGCGAACCGGGGGAACUGAAACAUCUAAGUACCCCGAGGAAAAGAAAUCAACCGAGAUUCCCCCAGUAGCGGCGAGCGAACGGGGAGCAGCCCAGAGCCUGAAUCAGUGUGUGUGUUAGUGGAAGCGUCUGGAAAGGCGCGCGAUACAGGGUGACAGCCCCGUACACAAAAAUGCACAUACUGUGAGCUCGAUGAGUAGGGCGGGACACGUGGUAUCCUGUCUGAAUAUGGGGGGACCAUCCUCCAAGGCUAAAUACUCCUGACUGACCGAUAGUGAACCAGUACCGUGAGGGAAAGGCGAAAAGAACCCCGGCGAGGGGAGUGAAAAAGAACCUGAAACCGUGUACGUACAAGCAGUGGGAGCACGCUUCGGCGUGUGACUGCGUACCUUUUGUAUAAUGGGUCAGCGACUUAUAUUCUGUAGCAAGGUUAACCGAAUAGGGGAGCCGAAGGGAAACCGAGUCUUAACUGGGCGUUAAGUUGCAGGGUAUAGACCCGAAACCCGGUGAUCUAGCCAUGGGCAGGUUGAAGGUUGGGUAACACUAACUGGAGGACCGAACCGACUAAUGUUGAAAAAUUAGCGGAUGACUUGUGGCUGGGGGUGAAAGGCCAAUCAAACCGGGAGAUAGCUGGUUCUCCCCGAAAGCUAUUUAGGUAGCGCCUCGUGAAUUCAUCUCCGGGGGUAGAGCACUGUUUCGGCAAGGGGGUCAUCCCGACUUACCAACCCGAUGCAAACUGCGAAUACCGGAGAAUGUUAUCACGGGAGACACACGGCGGGUGCUAACGUCCGUCGUGAAGAGGGAAACAACCCAGACCGCCAGCUAAGGUCCCAAAGUCAUGGUUAAGUGGGAAACGAUGUGGGAAGGCCCAGACAGCCAGGAUGUUGGCUUAGAAGCAGCCAUCAUUUAAAGAAAGCGUAAUAGCUCACUGGUCGAGUCGGCCUGCGCGGAAGAUGUAACGGGGCUAAACCAUGCACCGAAGCUGCGGCAGCGACGCUUAUGCGUUGUUGGGUAGGGGAGCGUUCUGUAAGCCUGUGAAGGUGUGCUGUGAGGCAUGCUGGAGGUAUCAGAAGUGCGAAUGCUGACAUAAGUAACGAUAAAGCGGGUGAAAAGCCCGCUCGCCGGAAGACCAAGGGUUCCUGUCCAACGUUAAUCGGGGCAGGGUGAGUCGACCCCUAAGGCGAGGCCGAAAGGCGUAGUCGAUGGGAAACAGGUUAAUAUUCCUGUACUUGGUGUUACUGCGAAGGGGGGACGGAGAAGGCUAUGUUGGCCGGGCGACGGUUGUCCCGGUUUAAGCGUGUAGGCUGGUUUUCCAGGCAAAUCCGGAAAAUCAAGGCUGAGGCGUGAUGACGAGGCACUACGGUGCUGAAGCAACAAAUGCCCUGCUUCCAGGAAAAGCCUCUAAGCAUCAGGUAACAUCAAAUCGUACCCCAAACCGACACAGGUGGUCAGGUAGAGAAUACCAAGGCGCUUGAGAGAACUCGGGUGAAGGAACUAGGCAAAAUGGUGCCGUAACUUCGGGAGAAGGCACGCUGAUAUGUAGGUGAAGCGACUUGCUCGUGGAGCUGAAAUCAGUCGAAGAUACCAGCUGGCUGCAACUGUUUAUUAAAAACACAGCACUGUGCAAACACGAAAGUGGACGUAUACGGUGUGACGCCUGCCCGGUGCCGGAAGGUUAAUUGAUGGGGUCAGCGCAAGCGAAGCUCUUGAUCGAAGCCCCGGUAAACGGCGGCCGUAACUAUAACGGUCCUAAGGUAGCGAAAUUCCUUGUCGGGUAAGUUCCGACCUGCACGAAUGGCGUAAUGAUGGCCAGGCUGUCUCCACCCGAGACUCAGUGAAAUUGAACUCGCUGUGAAGAUGCAGUGUACCCGCGGCAAGACGGAAAGACCCCGUGAACCUUUACUAUAGCUUGACACUGAACAUUGAGCCUUGAUGUGUAGGAUAGGUGGGAGGCUUUGAAGUGUGGACGCCAGUCUGCAUGGAGCCGACCUUGAAAUACCACCCUUUAAUGUUUGAUGUUCUAACGUUGACCCGUAAUCCGGGUUGCGGACAGUGUCUGGUGGGUAGUUUGACUGGGGCGGUCUCCUCCUAAAGAGUAACGGAGGAGCACGAAGGUUGGCUAAUCCUGGUCGGACAUCAGGAGGUUAGUGCAAUGGCAUAAGCCAGCUUGACUGCGAGCGUGACGGCGCGAGCAGGUGCGAAAGCAGGUCAUAGUGAUCCGGUGGUUCUGAAUGGAAGGGCCAUCGCUCAACGGAUAAAAGGUACUCCGGGGAUAACAGGCUGAUACCGCCCAAGAGUUCAUAUCGACGGCGGUGUUUGGCACCUCGAUGUCGGCUCAUCACAUCCUGGGGCUGAAGUAGGUCCCAAGGGUAUGGCUGUUCGCCAUUUAAAGUGGUACGCGAGCUGGGUUUAGAACGUCGUGAGACAGUUCGGUCCCUAUCUGCCGUGGGCGCUGGAGAACUGAGGGGGGCUGCUCCUAGUACGAGAGGACCGGAGUGGACGCAUCACUGGUGUUCGGGUUGUCAUGCCAAUGGCACUGCCCGGUAGCUAAAUGCGGAAGAGAUAAGUGCUGAAAGCAUCUAAGCACGAAACUUGCCCCGAGAUGAGUUCUCCCUGACUCCUUGA